UACGAAGGAUCCAAGCGUUGUCCGGAUUUACUGGGUUUAAAGGGUGCGUAGGCGGACUAUUAAGUCAGUGGUGAAAGCUUGCAGCUUAACUGUAAAAUUGCCAUUGAAACUGAUUGUCUCGAGUAUGGUUGAGGUGACUGGAAUAUAUCAUGUAGCGGUGAAAUGCUUAGAUAUGAUAUAGAACACCAAUUGCGAAGGCAGGUCACUAAACCAUAACUGACGCUGAGGCACGAAAGCGUGGGGAUCAAAC
Molecule: ribosomal RNA, 250 nt
Filed under: uncultured bacterium
Lineage: Bacteria
Description: partial 16S ribosomal RNA
Rfam family: Bacterial small subunit ribosomal RNA
Source: RNAcentral